RNAcentral lists this ribosomal RNA (2031 nucleotides) under human gut metagenome. RNAcentral describes it as "bacterial LSU rRNA". It matches the Rfam family "Bacterial large subunit ribosomal RNA", at positions 831 to 2888 of the family's 2925-position model. The record is from RNAcentral.
AAUCGAACCCGGAGAUAGCUGGUUCUCCUCGAAAUAGCUUUAGGGCUAGCCUCAUGGAUCAUUGAUGGGGGUAGAGCACUGAAUGUGCGCGGGGGCCACAAAGCCUACCAAACGCUAUCAAACUUCGAAUACCAUACAAUGCAGACCAUGGGAGUCAGUCCGCGAGAGAUAAGUUCCGCGGGCAAAAGGGGAACACCCCAGAUCAACCGCUAAGGUCCCCAAGUUCACGUUAAGUGGAGAAGGAUGUGGAAUUGCACAGACAACCAGGAUGUUGGCUCAGAAGCAGCCACACAUUUAAAGAGUGCGUAAUAGCUCACUGGUCGAGUGAUUGUGCGCCGAAGAUGUCCGGGGCUAAACGUGACACCGAAGCGAUGGGUGCAUCUGAAGAAGAUGCGCGGUAGAGGAGCAAUGUGCAGAGGCAGAAGCCGUAUCGAGAGGCACGGUGGACACUGCACAAGAGAGAAUGCCGGUAUGAGUAGCGAGAGGCAUGCGAGAAACAUGCCCGUCGAAAGCCCAAGGUUUCCUGGGGAAGGUUCAUCCGCCCAGGGUAAGUCGGGGCCUAAGCCGAGGACGGAAGUCGUAGGCGAUGGACAGCAGGUGUAGAUUCCUGCACUACCGAUGGAAUGAAGCAGUGACACAGAAGGAUAACUCGAGCAGGGUGAUGGUCAACCCUGUGCAAGCAUCAAGGUUGGGUUGUAGUGAAGUACGCAAUCCUAUAAGCUGAGAUGUGAUGCGGACCGAAAUUUCAGUAGGGAAGCGAGUGAGUUCACGCUGGCGAGAAAAGCUGCUAGUACAUCCAAAGGUACCCGUACCGGAAACCGACGCAGGUGGGCGAGGAGAGAAUCCUGAGACGAACGGGAGAACCCUUGUUAAGGAACUCGGCAAAAUGACCCCGUAACUUCGGGAUAAGGGGUGCCUGCGAGAGCAGGCCGCAGAGAAUAGUCACAAGCGACUGUUUAGCAAAAACACAGGUAUCUGCGAAAGCGAGAGCUGACGUAUAGGUGCUGACACCUGCCCGGUGCUGGAAGGUUAAGGGAACAUGUUAGAGCAAUCGAAGCAUCGAACCGAAGCCCCAGUAAACGGCGGCCGUAACUAUAACGGUCCUAAGGUAGCGAAAUUCCUUGUCGGGUAAGUUCCGACCCGCACGAAUGGUGUAACGACUUGUGAGCUGUCUCAACAGGGGGCCCGGUGAAAUUGAAGUAUGGGUGAAGAUGCCCAUUACCCGCGACUGGACGGAAAGACCCCGUAGAGCUUUACUGCAGCCUGAUAUUGAGUUUCGGUAACUGAUGCACAGGAUAGGUGGGAGUCUGAGAGACAUGGGUUUCGGCUCGUGUGGAGACGGUGUUGGGAUACCACUCUUCGGUUACUGAAAUUCUAACAUAGCUCUGUGAAACCAGAGGAUGGACAGUGUCAGGUGGACAGUUUGACUGGGGCGGUCGCCUCCGAAAGAGUAACGGAGGCGCCCAAAGGUACCCUCAGAAUGGAUGGAAACCAUUCGAAGAGCGCAAAGGCAGAAGGGUGCCUGACUGCGAGAUUGACAAAUCGAGCAGAGACGAAAGUCGGGCUUAGUGAUCCGGCGGUAUUGAGUGGAAAAGCCGUCGCUUAACGGAUAAAAGCUACCUCGGGGAUAACAGGCUGAUCUCCCCCAAGAGUCCACAUCGACGGGGAGGUUUGGCACCUCGAUGUCGGCUCGUCGCAUCCUGGGGCUGAAGCAGGUCCCAAGGGUUUGGCUGUUCGCCAAUUAAAGCGGCACGCGAGCUGGGUUCAGAACGUCGUGAGACAGUUCGGUCCCUAUCCAUCGUGGGCGUAGGAGUCAUGAGAGGAGCUGUUCCUAGUACGAGAGGACCGGAAUGGACGCACCACUGGUGCAACUGUUGUCGUGCCAACGGCAUAGCAGGGAAGCGAAGUGCGGAUGGGAUAAACGCUGAAGGCAUCUAAGCGUGAAGCCCACCUCAAGAAUAAGACUCCACAAUAGACCCCUGGAGGACUACCAGGUAGAUAGGUCAUCGGUGGAAGCGCUGUAAGGCGUGU